GAUGAACGCUGGCGGCGUGCCUAAUACAUGCAAGUCGAGCGAACGGACGAGAAGCUUGCUUCUCUGAUGUUAGCGGCGGACGGGUGAGUAACACGUGGAUAACCUACCUAUAAGACUGGGAUAACUUCGGGAAACCGGAGCUAAUACCGGAUAAUAUUUUGAACAGCAUGGUUCAAAAGUGAAAGACGGUCUUGCUGUCACUUAUAGAUGGAUCCGCGCUGCAUUAGCUAGUUGGUAAGGUAACGGCUUACCAAGGCAACGAUGCAUAGCCGACCUGAGAGGGUGAUCGGCCACACUGGAACUGAGACACGGUCCAGACUCCUACGGGAGGCAGCAGUAGGGAAUCUUCCGCAAUGGGCGGAAGCCUGACGGAGCAACGCCGCGUGAGUGAUGAAGGUCUUCGGAUCGUAAAACUCUGUUAUUAGGGAAGAACAUAUGUGUAAGUAACUGUGCACAUCUUGACGGUGCCUAAUCAGAAAGCCACGGCUAACUACGUG
Molecule: ribosomal RNA, 497 nt
Filed under: uncultured bacterium
Lineage: Bacteria
Description: partial 16S ribosomal RNA
Rfam family: Bacterial small subunit ribosomal RNA
Source: RNAcentral